This 78-nucleotide transfer RNA is filed under the name Acidimicrobiia bacterium. RNAcentral's name for it is "tRNA-Trp". It matches the Rfam family "tRNA". Rfam says of the family: Transfer RNA (tRNA) molecules are approximately 80 nucleotides in length. Their secondary structure includes four short double-helical elements and three loops (D, anti-codon, and T loops). The record is from RNAcentral. Lineage: Bacteria; Bacillati; Actinomycetota; Acidimicrobiia.
AGGGGUGUAGCUCUAACUGGCUAGAGCGCCGGUAUCCAAAGCCGGAGGUUGGGGGUUCGAGUCCCUCCACCCCUGCCA